GCUUCCUCAUGAACUUGAACCCAUCCCUAAAAGACAGAUGGUCAAACCAAGAAUUCUUGAAUUUGAAAGGUGUAGGUCCCCACUUUACAAAACUUGUAUCCAAUUCAAUUGGGCAAUGAUCUGAAGUUAACCAGGUAGUAGCUCUCUGCGAGAGUUAGGAAAGCACGCUUCCCACUCAUUUGUGAAUAGAAACCUAUCAAGCCUUUGACAUACCACAUCUGCACUUUCUCUCAUAUUUGACAUGUAAAUUCUGCAUUAAAUAAAUUAGGAUCUCUAAGGUUUAUUUCCAAAAUAAAAUUAUUGAACACCCUCAUACUUCUUAUAAAUCUACUGCUAUUGGAUUUUUCUGACACAAACCAUUCCACAUUAAAGUCUCUUGUAUGACAGCAUCUAGGUCCAAAUAAGCCAAACAAUCCAGCUAGCUCUUCCCAAAAAUUGUUUCUUUCCCUCGCUUUGUUAGGGCCGUAAACCCCCGAAAGCCACCAAUCUAAGCCAUCGGAAGCCUUUAUUUUGAUUGAAACAAAAAACUAACCUACCAUAGAUUCCAAAACUGAGAUACAAUUGGUAUUCCACAAAACAAGAAUUCCCCCAGACCUUCCUAAAAGAAGGCAACGACAGCCAUUCUAUGUAACGAAACCUCCAGAUGCUUCCAACAAGUCUUCUGCAAAUUUUAGUUUUUUUUUCUUGUAAAACGACAAUGUUUUGUCAGCCCCGCUAUUUAUAAUCUGCUCUUUAACCACUCUUCUUUUAUUUCUCCUCCCUAGCCCUCUGACAUUCCAAGAAAAUAUCUUCAUUUUAGAGGAUUAACCCCCAAAUCACUUCUAACUUUUUUCUUCUGGUACAUGAUUAAGGUAGACCCACUUCCAGAUUCCUUUUUCUUGUUAACAAUUUUGCCUGUAAUUUAUUUUUAUUUUUAUUUUUGUAACAAGUUCCUUUUCAAAGGAAUUAGUGGUAUAUUUAGUUUCGACAAAAA
This 973-nucleotide long non-coding RNA is filed under the name Malus domestica (apple). RNAcentral describes it as "long non-coding RNA (MDOM_LNC010807)". Lineage: Eukaryota; Viridiplantae; Streptophyta; Magnoliopsida; Rosales; Rosaceae. The record is from RNAcentral.